GGACGCAAGUCUGAUGGAGCAACGCCGCGUGAGUGAAGAAGGGUUUCGGCUCGUAAAGCUCUGUUGGUAGUGAAGAAAGAUAGAGGUAGUAACUGGCCUUUAUUUGACGGUAAUUACUUAGAAAGUCACGGCUAACUACGUGCCAGCAGCCGCGGUAAUACGUAGGUGGCAAGCGUUGUCCGGAUUUAUUGGGCGUAAAGCGAGUGCAGGCGGUUCAAUAAGUCUGAUGUGAAAGCCUUCGGCUCAACCGGAGAAUUGCAUCAGAAACUGUUGAACUUGAGUGCAGAAGAGGAGAGUGGAACUCCAUGUGUAGCGGUGGAGUGCGUAGAUAUAUGGAAGAACACCAGUGGCGAAGGCGGCUCUCUGGUCUGCAACUGACGCUGAGGCUCGAAAGCAUGGGUAGCGAACAGGAUUAGAUACCCUGGUAGUCCAUGCCGUAAACGAUGAGUGCUAAGUGUUGGGAGGUUUCCGCCUCUCAGUGCUGCAGCUAACGCAUUAAGCACUCCGCCUGGGGAGUACGACCGCAAGGUUGAAACUCAAAGGAAUUGACGGGGGCCCGCACAAGCGGUGGAGCAUGUGGUUUAAUUCGAAGCAACGCGAAGAACCUUACCAGGUCUUGACAUCCAGUGCAAACCUAAGAGAUUAGGUGUUCCCUUCGGGGACGCUGAGACAGGUGGUGCAUGGCUGUCGUCAGCUCGUGUCGUGAGAUGUUGGGUUAAGUCCGCAACGAG
Molecule: ribosomal RNA, 731 nt
Filed under: Lactobacillus gasseri
Lineage: Bacteria; Bacillati; Bacillota; Bacilli; Lactobacillales; Lactobacillaceae
Description: bacterial SSU rRNA
Rfam family: Bacterial small subunit ribosomal RNA
Source: RNAcentral